GUUUACCUAACGGUACUACAAUCACACAUGCACAUGGUAUCGCAAUGUUCGUGAAAAUUUUAUAACACUGUAUCUAUACCUGAAGAAAAUUGUUCUGUUUUCCUCGAGCAUAACUUCAUAACUUCAAACUCAUGACUGACGCCGGCUUGGAAGGUCUAUUCUACCCCAUUCUGCUGAUCGUAUUCUUCGUCAUCAUAUGGAUACCCUCGACACUCAUGGUAUUCUACCACUUGUACAAGUUUCACAUCUCUCCAACACCUAGAAGUCUACCAGCACGGACCAUCUCUUUUUACUGUUGUUUCCUACUGCUGAUUUACUUUUCAAUGCCAAUAUUUAUCGAUACGAGUACAAAUACAUUCCUCAUUAUGGACAGAGCGAUGAUGAUGGCGGAAUUUAUCAAAUUCAUAAUCGUUUUCGAUAUACUGCUGACUUUUUACCAUGUAGCCGUCUAUUGUGAAGAGCCUUCUUCGGAUACUGAAAAUAAGAAAUUGAUUUACUACCUCUUCAGCAUGAGUAUUCCCUUACUUUACACGUGUGAAUUUUUUACCGCAUUUGAAAUACAAGAUCCGCAAAUGUUUCAUCUUUACGGACCAUUCGCCAUCGCCAAGAUUAUUCGUGUCGUCGGAUUUGGCGUCAUUAUUGUCGCACUUUGUAUCAGAUUGAUUACUAUUAAGAGUACAAACAGACUAUGGCGAAAAUAUGGUCUACAUUUGCGCAUUCUCGCGAUUAUUGGCGGAUUAUCAAUUGUGAUCAGCAUUGCAGAAGCCCGUAGUGACGCUCCUGAUUUUAAACGAUCCGAGAAGAACAACUAUGCUGAACCAUUUUAUAGGAAUUGGGAAUAUUUUCUGGAAGGAUUUAUCAUUGGGUUAUACGCAUUGAAUACAACCACAUCACUUGGAGCUGUUAUAACUGAAUCGAAUUCCCCAGUCAGCGCAAUACACUAUGCCAAUGCAAUACCCAUAACGGGUCAGAAUUACCCUCACGAAAAUCGUACUACGUAGUCUACGCAUAUAAUAGGUCGGAUCGCACAAUAAACCAAAAGCCAAAAACAGAAAACAGCAUGGAUAUUCUUUAUUUAGUGGAUAUCAUAUGGUUUACAGCAUGCGCAAUUUCAACAAUCUGUGUUGGCAUCCAUGUGUACAAGUUCUUCAGAACCACAGCACCCCAAAGUUUGCUAAGCAAGCUCCUCGCUUUUUAUUGUUUUUUGUUAUUGUUAAUCUACAUUCCUACAUUAGGACUUUACCUUGUGAUACACCUGGAGUUAUCAGACAGACAUUUCACGACUUUAUUAAUUAUUACAUUACACUUGAUGGUGACGGCGACCUAUUUCAAACUUAUAAUGGCUUUAGAUCUGUUCAUUAGUUUUCGCCAAAUUGCUAUCCACCAACAAAUACGUUCUUCGGAUCCUCGAAACAAGAAAUUCAUUGUUUAUUGCAUCGUCGGUAUAGUUGUUCCUUUAUUUUUGACCAUGUGUAACUUCAUAUUUUCAAAUAACUUACAGGAACCAACAAUUUUUGCUCCAAGUAAAGUUAUGAGAGCUAUUCGUAUCGCUCGUUUGUUUUUAAUCAUUGGCGCUGUUUACUACAUUAUAUCAGGUAGCAAGGAUAAAAAAGGAAUGCGGUUAAAAUACCGUCAACAUGUGCAAAUCCUCACGAUGCUUGGUGGAUUUUCUGCUUUGGUAACCAUAGCUGAAAUUAUCACAGUGAUCGUCAAGAAUAAUUUUAAUAUUAUUCCAAAUUCUUCAAUGAUAGUGUUCUUAUUAAUACAUUAUUUCGGUUAUCUGUUAGAGGGAAUGGUUAUUUGCAUUUUAUUCACAUUCAAGAAACAAACAUUUCAGUCUGUCUCUUCUGCCAGUCCCAAUAAUACAGUAGUAGAAUACAAUAAUGACACGAUUCAAAUGUGACUUUUACCACCAGCUAUAAAAUAUAGUUUGCAUUUCAUCGAAAUGAAAUUGAUUGCUCAACAUUUAUGAUGUAUUUUCAACAAAUAUAAUGUAUUCGUAUUUUA
Planococcus citri (citrus mealybug) is the source of this 2007-nucleotide long non-coding RNA. RefSeq lists it as uncharacterized. The record is from RefSeq and is a predicted model, not a curated record. The transcript has 3 exons. Lineage: Eukaryota; Metazoa; Arthropoda; Insecta; Hemiptera; Pseudococcidae.